Long non-coding RNA from Manis javanica (Malayan pangolin), 650 nucleotides. RefSeq lists it as uncharacterized. NCBI's taxonomy places the organism in Eukaryota, Metazoa, Chordata, Mammalia, Pholidota, Manidae. The record is from RefSeq and is a predicted model, not a curated record.
GUGAAAUAAAGCCUAAACACUCCAAGACCGGGUGCCACUUGGUUUCUUUCUGUCAGUGAUCCAGUCCAGGCUUUUCUCAGUAUUUUCCAUAACAUUUGGUUCCCUGGCCCGGAAACCCAACUGCGGUGGCCCUUUGUUGCCACCGGUUUGGGGCAAUGGCACGGCUGUGAUGGAACAGAUCGCAGUGGAGAAGGCGCGCCCUGCCUGACCUUUUGGCAGUCUCCCACCCGGUUGCCCUGGGCCAGCCCUGCUCCGCUGUUCCUGCUGGACUCAAGGAGGCUUGGCAUGUGAGGACCUGGUUCUGACACUGAAUCCAACCAUGUAUCCUCAAUAGACUGAUGACUUUGUCAAAGGUAGAAUACAGUCCAGGUAAUGGUGCUAAGACAACAGUAUCAGCCUUUAUCUCCUGACAACUGUGAGAGGUCACGGGAUCCCAGAGAACCCCUGGACCCCCGACCCGGAGGGCCCUCUGCCGGCUGUUUGUCCUUCCAGAAUAGAAGCGCCAACCUCCUGAGGCCCUCUGAACUGAACAGUGAUGGAGACCUAACUGUACCCUGUACUGCACCCCCUCUCAGCAUGAAGCAGCCAGAGCGGUCAUCACCCUUUUCCCUAGCAGCAGCUUAGGUCUCUAUCUGUAGAGGGGAGAAUGA